Molecule: long non-coding RNA, 3847 nt
Filed under: Sus scrofa (pig)
Lineage: Eukaryota; Metazoa; Chordata; Mammalia; Artiodactyla; Suidae
Description: lncRNA (ENSSSCG00005033039.1)
Source: RNAcentral
AUGUCCAUGCCCAGCAGCGGGGCCCACCCACAGGACGUGGGGGUAUCCCCGGAACCCCCAUCCGGACACUUGUCCCCCAGCCCUGCCCUAGAGUCGCCAGACCUAGCGCUCUCAGAGCCAUCUGGUCGACCCGGGGAGCGUGACCGCAAGGAAGGGACAGGGACAGGAAGGAGGUGGAGCCGGCCGGCCAGCCGGGGAAGCCCUUCCCGGCUUGCCCACGCGGGCAGGUAUCGGUCUGUCCGGAGCUCCAGACGGGGACUUGGCUCCCCCAAAAUCCAGGACACACCAUCCAGCUCAGGGAAACACUCCGAGGGCGGGGGGCGGGAAAUGAGAGCGUGGGAAACGAAGUCUUGUCCAACGACCGGGACCCUACAUGGGCACGCCUCAGGCCCAGGUGCACCCUUCCCGGCCACACCCGGGAGCAGGGGGCCGGCGGGGUACCGUCCACCGUCUCCGGAUCCAUCAGGACUUGGAAAAAAAAAUGUUUCCACGGAGGCGCCUCCGACGAACGGACCCCGCGAAGGAAGGCGCCGGGGCCCGAGCCACCCUUUCCGCUCCACCCCUCACGUCUUGUGCCGGUCUAGACCUCGUGAGUACGACUCCGCACGGGCCGGCGGUAGCCAUCAGUCGGGGGGCAGGCGGGGAGGGACCCAUGCCGGCAUGACGACCGGGAAACAAGCGUGCCGGCCACCGAGCCUGUCGCGCCCUCCAACGCCCUCAGCGCACAACCCGGGCCUGGUCGGUCCCCGGGGCCGGAGCGGCAAGAGCGGAUGCUGGUCGACCCGGCCAGGCGGCCCCAGAGCCUGCCUGGGGAGCGCGGUGACAGUCACUCCCUCACAGGCCUGCACGCCCAAUCUCCGGGGAGAGAGGGACACUCCCAGGCCUCUGAGCCACCGGAGCUGUCGCCGCCAGUGUCGCCAGCCUCCCGGAACUCUGACUCAGGCCGGAUGGCUGAGUCACAUCCCUCGCGAAGGUCCCCAAAGCUGCAGAGGGAAGGGACGAUAUAAAAGCGGACACUAGAUGGCACGCGACACCCGCCACCAACGUCACCAGGACAGAUCCGGAAGGCCGGCCGGCCGGCGGCGACACAACGACACAGCGCCGGCCACCCAAAUGCCCGAGCUCUUCCCGGGGCCGAGGCGCCAGGCGUCCUGCACGACCGCGAAGCUUGCCUCGCGGAGCUGCCUCCUGGCAAGGCACUGCGUGGCGUGAUGGCAGCAGAUGGAAAGAGGGGGGCGGCGGCGGCGGCGGCGGCGGCGGCGGGGAAGGAGCUGGGAAGAGGUUCUCGCUGUUGCCUAGAAGGAGCCGCGCUCGCUCCCCCAAGCAUGUCCCUUCCUGGGCUUGGGAAUUCCAGAGAGAAGCCGGCGCGGUGAGGGUGGCACUAGCGAGAGAGAUCUCAGGUUCCCCUCCACCUUCUCUUCUCUCCCCCACCCCCACCCCACCUCCCUGCACGGAGCUGGAGGAGGGAGGGAGAGAGGGAGGGUGGGAGGGUAGGCGGGGACUGGCAAAAACGAAACCGGGCAAGCUCUCGGAGAACGACAACGCGGGAGUCGGUUUACCUGCCACCCUUACCGACGGAGACGGUCUGUCAAAAGCAGACAAGCAAAGCCCAGAAGCUUAGGAAGGGAGAGAAGGAUACAGUCGAUCCUAGGAAAGUGGAAAUGAAAAUCUCUCUCUGCAUAGACUGAGACAAAGUCCAAAGAGAACAAAUGGCUGCCUGGGGCAAAUGCUCUGGUGGUCAGGUCAGAGAAACAUGGAUUUCAGCAUGACUGACCAACCAGAAUGGAGGGAAAGUACAACGCAACACUAUGAGUGGGUGUGUGUGUUGGGGGGGGGGGUGAACUGAAAUCUCAUCCAAAACAAAACAAACCAAAACAAAAAAAGGAAAACAGCCCCCCCCCAAAAAAAACCCAAAAAACAACAGAAGAAGAAGAAGAAGAAGGAAGCCCGCGACCAACAGGGUCAAGGCUCCGGCUUUCUCAACGCGGUGGCUCUGGUUGCCCCUGUGUGGUGCAGGUUCCAUCUCUGGCUCAGGAAAAACUUCCACUUGCUGCCCGUGUGUGUGGCCAAAAAGUAAAACAUAAAGCUGAAACAGGAGGGAGAGGGGGUGGAGAAAACCCGAAACAAACAAUAAACUUUGCAAGUCUCAGGAUUGCCAUCCUGGGGUAGUGGAAACAAAUCCGACCAGGAACCAUGAGGUUGCAGGUUUGAUCCCUGGUUCACUUGUUGGGUUAAGGAUCUGGCUUUGCCGUGAGCUGUGGUGUCCGUCACAGGCGCGGCUAGGAUCCCGCGUGGCUGUGCCUGUGGCGUAGGCCGGCAGGUAAGGCUCCGAACUGACCCCUAGCCUGGGACCCUCCAUGUGCUGCGGGUGGGGCUCCCCCCCCCAAAAAAAACCAAAAAAGAGAGAGAGAGAGAGAGAGGGAGAGAGAGAGAGAGAGAGAAAGAAAGAGAGAGAGAGAGAGAGAGGGAGAGAGAGAGAGAGAGAGAAAGAAAGAGAGAGAGAGAGAGAGAGGGAGAGAGAGAGAGAGAGAGAAAGAAAGAGAGAGAGAGAGAGAGAGGGAGAGAGAGAGAGAGAGAGAAAGAAAGAGAGAGAGAGAGAGAGAGGGAGAGAGAGAGAGAGAGAGAAAGAAAGAGAGAGAGAGAGAGAGAGGGAGAGAGAGAGAGAGAGAGAAAGAAAGAGAGAGAGAGAGAGAGAGGGAGAGAGAGAGAGAGAGAGAAAGAAAGAGAGAGAGAGAAAAGAAAGAAAGGAAGAAAGGAAGGAAGGAAAGAAAAAGAAGGAAAAAGAAAUCCAUCUUGGAGUUCCCGCUGUGCCUAGGUCACAGCUGAGCCUCAAGUUCGAUCCCUGGCACAGGAAAGGCAGUGCAGCAGGAAAAAAAAAAAAAAAAAAAAAAGAACAACUCCAUCUUGCUGGUUGGGCAGGGGAGAUGCAAUUGCCGGAUGACAUUCCACAACUCUGCCAAACUGGCAAAACCACGACGCACUUAGUACAGGAGUCAUUGAAGACAUGGAUGUGAAAGCAUCUUCUUGCUAUCGAUUCAUUUCCCACAAUCCCAGGAAGAGCCAUUGGAACAGGGCUCCCAUUCUUGGCACGAUAUCUUUUCUAGGUGUGGGUGGAUGCAUCUUUUCUCAUGGUUGUUUUCCUUUUGACCAAACUUAACUUCAGCCUCCACCAUGUCAUCUUUUGGGCUCUCAAGCCUGCCAUGAGAAUAUGGUCACCAAAGUCCUCGCCCAGAGGCACCUUUGCCCACCACCAGUGCCGCCGUCUCCCCCCCCCUCCUCCUCCUCCUCCUCCUCCUCCAACCCCCGCCAAGCACCCCACCCCCCACCCCGCUUUGUAUUGUUCAGCUGUCUUGCACUGGUCUCUCACACGGUGGCGGUGUGGUCCUACGCAUGUCUCCCAACCACAUUCAAGUGGACUUCCGGGAUCAUCAUUUUCUGUUUCCUAACUGCACUUUCGUCGUUCUUAGGAGGUUUGCUUCCCUCCCCGCCUCCCCCCCACCCCCCGCGCGCGCGCGCGCGCCCACGCUUGGUGUUGAAUCGGAGCUGCAUCUGCUAGCCUGAGCCACAGCCACAGCAACGGCGGGAUCCGAGCCACAUCUGAGACCUUAUGCCACAGCUCGUGGAAAAAUGCCAGAUCCUUAAACCCCUGAGCGAGGCCAGGGAUCAAACCUGCCACCUCGUGAUUCCUAGUCCGAUUCGUUUCUGCCCCGCCAUGACAGGAAUUCCUUCCUGUGUUCUUUUGGGUCAUGGUUGUUUCCAGCUUCAGGGAUCAAACCUGCCACCUCGUGAUUCCUAGUCCGAUUCGUUUCCGCCGCGCCAUGACAGGAAUUCCUUCCUGUGUUCUUUU